This 495-nucleotide ribosomal RNA is filed under the name uncultured bacterium. RNAcentral's name for it is "partial 16S ribosomal RNA". It matches the Rfam family "Bacterial small subunit ribosomal RNA", at positions 28 to 507 of the family's 1533-position model. The record is from RNAcentral.
GACGAACGCUGGCGGCGUGCCUAAUACAUGCAAGUAGAACGCUGAAGGAGGAGCUUGCUCUUCUGGAUGAGUUGCGAACGGGUGAGUAACGCGUAGGUAACCUGCCUGGUAGCGGGGGAUAACUAUUGGAAACGAUAGCUAAUACCGCAUAAGAGUAGAUGUUGCAUGACAUUUGCUUAAAAGGUGCAAUUGCAUCACUACCAGAUGGACCUGCGUUGUAUUAGCUAGUUGGUGGGGUAACGGCUCACCAAGGCGACGAUACAUAGCCGACCUGGGAGGGUGAUCGGCCACACUGGGACUGAGACACGGCCCAGACGCCUACGGGAGGAAGCAGUAGGGAAUCUUCGGAAAUGGACGGAAGUCUGACCGAGCAACGCCGCGGGAGUGAAGAAGGUUUUCGGAUCGUAAAGCUCUGUUGUAAGAGAAGAACGAGUGUGAGAGUGGAAAGUUCACACUGUGACGGUAUCUUACCAGAAAGGGACGGCUAACUACGUG